AGCAGCCGCGGUAAUUCCAGCUCCAAUAGCGUAUAUUAAAGUUGUUGCAGUUAAAAGCUCGUAGUUGAAUUUCGGGAUCAAAGAAUCGGUCAUGCCUUGGUAUGUACUGGUUUUAUUGGUUCUCACCUUCUAAAGAACCAUGAUGUCAUUCAUUUGAUGUUAUGGGGAAUUAGGACUGUUACCUUGAAAAAUUAGAGUGUUUAAAGCAAGCUUACGCUUGAAUACAUUAGCAUGGAAUAAUGAAAUAGGACAUCAGAUUCUAUUUUGUUGGUUUCUAGGAUCGAUGUAAUGAUUAAUAGGGAUAGUUGGGGGCAUUAGUAUUCAAUUGUCAGAGGUGAAAUUCUUGGAUUUAUUGAAGCUAACUACUGCGAAAGCAUUUGCCAAGGAUGUUUUCAUUAAUCAAGAACGAAAGUUAGGGAUCGAGGACGAUCAGAUACCGUGUAGUCUUAACCAUAAACUAUGCCGACUAGGGAUCGGAUGAUGUUAAUUUUUAUGUACUCUACG
Molecule: unclassified non-coding RNA, 504 nt
Filed under: uncultured Glomus
Lineage: Eukaryota; Fungi; Glomeromycota; Glomeromycetes; Glomerales; Glomeraceae
Description: SSU rRNA
Rfam family: Eukaryotic small subunit ribosomal RNA
Source: RNAcentral